GGAGAGAUGGCUGAGUGGCCGAAAGCGGCACGGUGCUAACGUGUUAUCCUUUAACGAGGAUCUAGGGUUCGAAUCCCUAUCUCUCCGCC
This 89-nucleotide transfer RNA is filed under the name Parcubacteria group bacterium ADurb.Bin316. RNAcentral's name for it is "tRNA-Ser". It matches the Rfam family "tRNA". Rfam says of the family: Transfer RNA (tRNA) molecules are approximately 80 nucleotides in length. The record is from RNAcentral.